UAAUCUGACUCUCGCAGUGCAGGGAGCAGGACCCAGACCCAGACCCAGGGUUGAUGGCUCUCAAGGCAAAGCCAGAAAUCCUGGAAGAAUGAAAGGAGGGCAGCAGGGCAAGAAAUCUGGCAUGGAGCUGGUCUGCAUCUGCUGAAUACUCACGGCCUUCACACACAAGUGGAUUU
Fukomys damarensis (Damara mole-rat) is the source of this 176-nucleotide long non-coding RNA. RefSeq lists it as uncharacterized. The transcript has 3 exons. The record is from RefSeq and is a predicted model, not a curated record. Lineage: Eukaryota; Metazoa; Chordata; Mammalia; Rodentia; Bathyergidae.